CCUCCUUUUCCCAGUGGAGAUCGGGCGUGUGGUCCCGGUCCCUGUAAUGUAGCGCGGCAGAGGGAAAGGGCUCUGGCCCCCUCGGCGUCACGCCUUUGGUGCCAGCGGCUUCUAGCCCCCUGGUUCUAUCAUCAAGCUUCGGGACACGG
Molecule: small nucleolar RNA, 149 nt
Organism: Diceros bicornis minor
Lineage: Eukaryota; Metazoa; Chordata; Mammalia; Perissodactyla; Rhinocerotidae
Product: small nucleolar RNA SNORA57
Exons: 1
Source: RefSeq, a predicted model, not a curated record